UCCAUGAAAACUCGAUAUGGAUGAACCAUGCGAACAAGAUGGCUAUGGUUGAUAUGAUAGGGUUUGUAUCAUUUGCUCGAAAAAAGAAUUCAACUUCCUUCACAUGAAUCCACUACUGGAUCACUUUGAGAUCCACACUGAUGGUGCUUUGAGGGCUGUGCAUUGGGUGAUCCAAUGGUGGAUUCGGGCAAAGGAAGAUAAGUCCUUCUUCCGCACCAAAGAUACAACCCUUAACCUUGAUUAAAAUGGGUCGUGUAAUCCAACUUCCAAGUCAGGUUUCAUCAGGUUCAAUCCUUCAAU
This 300-nucleotide long non-coding RNA is filed under the name Elaeis guineensis (African oil palm). Its description in RNAcentral is "long non-coding RNA (EGUI_LNC011217)". The record is from RNAcentral. Lineage: Eukaryota; Viridiplantae; Streptophyta; Magnoliopsida; Arecales; Arecaceae.